Molecule: microRNA, 22 nt
Filed under: Sarcophilus harrisii (Tasmanian devil)
Lineage: Eukaryota; Metazoa; Chordata; Mammalia; Dasyuromorphia; Dasyuridae
Description: Sha-Mir-12475-P6_3p* (star (passenger))
Source: RNAcentral
ACAAUGCGUCUCAGAAUGUAGU